This 1230-nucleotide long non-coding RNA is filed under the name Salmo salar (Atlantic salmon). Its description in RNAcentral is "lncRNA (ENSSSAG00000111607.1)". Lineage: Eukaryota; Metazoa; Chordata; Actinopteri; Salmoniformes; Salmonidae. The record is from RNAcentral.
GUGGACAGUUGCUACCAUGCAGGUGCAGUCACCUGUACUGUGGGCCUUUGGUCAAGAGGGUAAUAGAUAACUUUCCCAUGAAGCUGUCUGCCAUGAGAGAGGCCUUCAAGCAACAAGAAGUUCAUUAACUUCCUCCAUGACUGGCGCAAUGUAACUGGGUGGAUAGGCCAUUACUGGCAACAAGGUAGAUAUAACCUCUGACCUGUAGUGGUCUCAAUACCUGACCUGUACUGGGCUCCCGAGUGGCGCAGCGUUCUAAGGCACUGCAUCUCAGCGCUAGAGGCAUCACUACAGACCCUGGUUCGAUCCCGGGCUGUAUCACAACCGGCCGUGAUUGGGAGUCCCAUAGGGCGGCGUACAAUUGGCCCAGCGUCAUCCGGAACAGGAGAGAUUUCUACUCCCUAUAUGAAUAGCUGCUGAAGUAAGCCAGGGAUUAAACAAAUCCUACCUCAAUCGCCCAGGAGUUGGCCGACCAUGGAGUAACUUCACCACAUUUCUUCGUCUAUUUACUGUAUAUUCAGUGUGUACAUAUGAAUACCAUAUUGCGCAGUAGUCCCAAACGAACAGGUGUAAAUUGACUGAAUGACGUCUUACAGAUCCAACAUUUCAACUUUGCGGACAUCACCAUGCAUUGUGGCAGAGGUUCAUUGCAGAUGUCGCUAAAUGUUGAAGUCAGCCCUGGUCAACUCAACACCUUCACACUCGACAAGUACACAGUGGAUCUCUAUUGCCUGCCCCCCAAUAAAGUUUAAAUUAGUCUCAUUCAACAACCCAUACAUUUUCAAGAUGGUAAAGAUUUAAAACACGCCCCCAAAACUCACCCAAACUGUAAUUAGGCCAUCCCAUUUAGAUAAGGUGAAAGUCUUGCAACCCAUUAACAGCCCUCCUCUCUCCUCCCUCUGUUUCACCCUCUCUUCCCAUUCAACCUUUACUUUAGAAAUAAAUAUUCAUUCAUGUACUUGACUGUAUGUGUCUGCAUUCAUUUAGUCUUGUGAAGAGAUCGACGUAAACAUAAAUGGUACCAUAGAAUCUGUGGGGAAAGAAUUGGAUGCGAGGAAUAAUGAGCAGCAGGGCAUUUGGCCUGUAACUUGCAAAGAGAGGUGGAGAUCCUCGUUCCGGUUCAGCUCCACAUUCUAGCUCUUAAUCCCUUCUCUUAACAUGUAUAGACCCAGAAUUUAAUCGAGCAGCUGACCAAUUACGCAGGUUUUUAGUUCUGGGUUAACCGAGUAC